GACGAACGCUGGCGGCGUGCCUAAUACAUGCAAGUAGAACGCUGAAGGAGGAGCUUGCUCUUCUGGAUGAGUUGCGAACGGGUGAGUAACGCGUAGGUAACCUGCCUGGUAGCGGGGGAUAACUAUUGGAAAUGAUAGCUAAUACCGCAUAAGAGUAGAUGUUGCAUGACAUUUACUUAAAAGGUGCAAUUGCAUCACUACCAGAUGGACCUGCGUUGUAUUAGCUAGUUGGUGGGGUAACGGCUUACCAAGGCGACGAUACAUAGCCGACCUGAGAGGGUGAUCGGCCACACUGGGACUGAGACACGGCCCAGACUCCUACGGGAGGCAGCAGUAGGGAAUCUUCGGCAAUGGACGGAAGUCUGACCGAGCAACGCCGCGUGAGGGAAGAAGGUUUUCGGAUCGUAAAGCUCUGUUGUAAGAGAAGAACGAGUGUGAGAGUGGAAAGUUCACACUGUGACGGUAUCUUACCAGAAAGGGACGGCUAACUACGUG
RNAcentral lists this ribosomal RNA (495 nucleotides) under uncultured bacterium. RNAcentral's name for it is "partial 16S ribosomal RNA". It matches the Rfam family "Bacterial small subunit ribosomal RNA", at positions 28 to 507 of the family's 1533-position model. The record is from RNAcentral.